GGGUCAUCAGGGAACAGUGUAGCACCUGGGGGUGAGUGCCAGGUGGGCAGCUACUGCCAGCCCUGGUCCUGGAGGGGCUUGGGGAGGGCAUGGUGUUCUCAGCGCCCAGUGCACUGCAGCCGUGGGAGGAGUGGUGCCCACUGGGAGCUGUGGCUGCUGACUGAGGAAGGCAGGUCUAACCCAAACCACCUGGCAAGGCAAACAGAUGCAAUGAAACUUUUCUGAUAACUUUGUUUUCUAUUUACUGCCUGGAGCAUAGUAGCAGAACAGGGGGUUACACUUGAGAUAUUGGAGAAACCAUGCCAUCUGAAUAGCUGUUUCUGCACCAGGUUGACUGUCGGCAUUGAGAGCCAUAAAGAGAAACAAGGUGUAAAUGCACAGAAGAGAGAAGUUAAUGACCACUUAUCUUGUACCAUCUUGGGAGGAGUGACUUCUGGUGCUAAGUAUCAGGAAACAUCCGGGGGAAUGAUUUCCAGAAAAAUGGUAGUGAUGAACAUCUGCAGGAAUGGAGGCACAGACAUAAACGGCCCUGUGGACUCAACGGGAGAAGAAGACGGGGUUCCCAGUCCCUGGACCAUGGACUGAUACUCUUAGAAACCAGGCUGCACAGCAGAAGCUCUGCGUAUAAAUUUGUUUUCUCUGAAGACUCAAAAAUGUCUGCAGGCCUUCAUCAUCACAGUUCUCACGGUGAAGACUGCAAAGGCCGGCCUAAGAUUUUGAUCAGUGGAAAGCUAGGAUGCCCUCCAUGCUCUUCUCCACCACCGGAAUGUUCUCAGAACUUUUCUCGCUUGCUCUCCAAAUCCUAGAGAAAUCUACACAGCCAGGCUGCCUGUGACUACAGGACCAAACUGGGGACACAGUCCUGGGAGCUGGGGCUCAGGGACGCUGUGACACCUGGGUGAGCGGUCUCCUCGGCAGUGUGGAAGCAGCAGAAGCUGUGCUGAACUACGAACCAGGAGGCUCCAGAAUGUGCUGCUGACUGAGGCCGAGGCAAGUCACAGAGCCUGCGGCUGUCUCAUUUAUUUCAGGAACAGCGUUUCCACGGGGAUCUUUAAUUAUUUAGUCUCUGGUCCUUAAUUGGUUUCCUUUUCCACAAAAGGAUCCCUCUUG
This is a long non-coding RNA of Bos taurus (domestic cattle), 1110 nucleotides long. The record is from Ensembl. NCBI's taxonomy places the organism in Eukaryota, Metazoa, Chordata, Mammalia, Artiodactyla, Bovidae.